Cyanistes caeruleus (blue tit) is the source of this 605-nucleotide non-coding RNA. The record is from RefSeq and is a predicted model, not a curated record. NCBI's taxonomy places the organism in Eukaryota, Metazoa, Chordata, Aves, Passeriformes, Paridae.
CAGGUAACACAGGUAACACAGGUAACACCCAGGUAACACCCAGGUAACACAGGUAACACCCAGGUAACACAGGUAACACACAGGUAACACCCAGGUAACACAGGUAACACACAAACAACACAGGUAAAACAGGUAACAACCAGGUAACACAGGUAAUACCCAGGUAACACCCGUAACACACAAACAACACAGGUAAAACAGGUAACACCCAGGUAACACAGGUGACACCCAGGUAACAGCCAGGUAACAGCCAGGUAACACACAAAUAACACAGGUAACACCCAGGUAACACAGAUAGUACACAGAUAAUACAGGUAACACCCAGGUAACAGGUACCACAGGUAACAGGUACCACAGGUGACACAGGUAACACAGGUAACACAGGUAACAGGUGACACAGGUACCACAGGUAACAGGUAACACACAGGUAACAGGUAACACAGGUACCACAGGUAACACAGGUACCACAGGUAACAGGUACCACAGGUAACAGGUGACACAGGUAACAGGUGACACAGGUAACAGGUAACAGGUGACACAGGUAACAGGUGACACAGGUAACAGGUACCACAGGUAACAGGUGACACAGGUAACAGGUGACACAG